CAGUAGCCGCGGUAAUACAGAGGGUGCGAGCGUUAAUCGGAUUUACUGGGCGUAAAGCGUGCGUAGGCGGCUUCUUAAGUCGGAUGUGAAAUCCCUGAGCUUAACUUAGGAAUUACAUUCGAUACUGGGAAGCUAGAGUAUGGGAGAGGAUGGUAGAAUUCCAGGUGUAGCGGUGAAAUGCGUAGAGAUCUGGAGGAAUACCGAUGGCGAAGGCAGCCAUCUGGCCUAAUACUGACGCUGAGGUACGAAAGCAUGGGGAGCAAACAGGAUUAGAUACCCCCGUAGUCCCUGUCUCUUAUAC
RNAcentral lists this ribosomal RNA (301 nucleotides) under uncultured bacterium. RNAcentral describes it as "partial 16S ribosomal RNA". It matches the Rfam family "Bacterial small subunit ribosomal RNA", at positions 509 to 807 of the family's 1533-position model. The record is from RNAcentral.